AUUGAACGCUGGCGGAAUGCUUUACACAUGCAAGUCGAACGGCAGCACGGGUGCUUGCACCUGGCGGCGAGUGGCGAACGGGUGAGUAGUACAUCGGAACGUACCCUGACGUGGGGGAUAACGUAGCGAAAGUUACGCUAAUACCGCAUACGUCCUGAGGGAGAAAGCAGGGGAUCGUAAGACCUUGCGCGUUAGGAGCGGCCGAUGGCGGAUUAGCUAGUUGGUAGGGUAAAGGCCUACCAAGGCGACGAUCCGUAGCGGGUGUGAGAGGACGACCCACCAGACUGGAACUGAGACACGGUCCAGACUCCUACGGGAGGCAGCAGUGGGGAAUUUUGGACAAUGGGCGAAAGACUGAUCCAGCCAUUCCGCGUGAGUGAAGAAGGCCUUCGGGUUGUAAAGCUCUUUCGGCAGGGAAGAAACGGUUUUGGAUAAUACCCAGAACUAAUGACGGUACCUGAAGAAGAAGCACCGGCUAACUACGUGCCAGCCGCCGCGGUAA
RNAcentral lists this ribosomal RNA (502 nucleotides) under uncultured bacterium. RNAcentral describes it as "partial 16S ribosomal RNA". It matches the Rfam family "Bacterial small subunit ribosomal RNA", at positions 29 to 523 of the family's 1533-position model. The record is from RNAcentral.